UGUCCUCAUCCUUGGGCCAGCCAGGGUCCUGAAACCAGACAUAGUGCCCCAAAUGGGGCACAUCAAACAUAGCACAGGAGGGUCUGACCACUUCCCUCACCUUGCAGGGUCUGUCUUACUGAUGCUGCCCAGUAUACAGAUAGCCUGAGUUGACAAAAGAAGAGGCCACAGUCUUCCAAAUUCUAUCAUCUGAUGUAUGUUUUGUGUGUAAUGAAAAGCUCCACAACCCUACUACUGUAAAAAGUGAUACUACUAGCAGUGGGUCUUGCAUUACCCUCAUGUGGACCGUUUCCUCAGCAUUAGGGUCUGCAGUGUGAGGAGGCUGUGGCGAGGUACCAAUGCCAGCCCACUGCUCCCUAAAGUAAAAUGACCAGGCUCCCUGGAGAGCACUUCAGACCUGUGCUCUCAUGUAAACACUGUCUAGGUUGAAUUAAAAUGGGUGUGUUGUAAGCUGGCUGUAGUGGAAAUGGUAAGUCAGGGCUUGUAGCAGUGAUUGAGCACCUGGUAGGAAGGUAGGGGAGCUCAGCUGCAUGCCCGCCUCUCAGGUGCAGGAUCCACCCCUUCCCAGACCUCAUUUAAGGGUUGGCAGCGGAGGGCAGGGUAUCUCUCUGGAGAUCGCUGUGUACCUGAGGUCUUUUGAAGGCAUGAACUCAUACACCAAGUGUGACAAUGCUACAGUGCCAGAUGGAUGGUCCAGAAUCUGUAGUGUAAUGGAGAACUGAGCCACCAAUCUUCAAACCUAGCAUACAAGUCAAAUGAGGAUUGCACAGCCACACAGCAACCUGAUCUAGAAGGUACCAACCCUGCCCAUGGCAGAGAGGUUGGAGCUACAUGAUCCCUAAGUUCUCUGCUGACACAAACUAUUCCAUGAUUACUAGUCACUCUGCCAGGCAGUGAUUAUCUCAAUACAAUGCUAUUGCCUUUGAAAUUGUUGAAAAGGAAUUGCUCCAAGCUGUUCACGCAUGUGGCUGGCACCAGAUCCCACUCUGCUGCAUCUCAUGGACCUUCUGCUGCAGUUUCUCCCCUCCUCCUCCCAGAAAUUACAAAAUAAGGGUUAAGGCACUUUGUUCAUGAAAUGCUUUCUCUUCCAUCUUCUUCAUAGUAUGGUAUUUCACUUUUUGGCUAAGGUAGUGACACAGGCGAGGACAUGAAAAAAGGUUCUGGAGCUUAAUUAGUGUGGUUAGAAAAUUGGAUAGAAAAGCAAUUUAGGAUGUGUCUGCAAAGGGGAAAGAAAGUUGAUGACAAAAGAGAAUUGGAUUCAUAAUGUACUAUUCACAUAUAACUAAUCUCCCGAACUGACUAAGACAGUUUUUCAGUAAUUUGAACACCAGCUGGCUUCAGCUUUUGGAAUAAUAUGAAAACUUGUA
Long non-coding RNA from Numida meleagris (helmeted guineafowl), 1367 nucleotides. RefSeq lists it as uncharacterized. The record is from RefSeq and is a predicted model, not a curated record. The transcript has 4 exons. NCBI's taxonomy places the organism in Eukaryota, Metazoa, Chordata, Aves, Galliformes, Numididae.